Molecule: ribosomal RNA, 320 nt
Filed under: uncultured eukaryote
Lineage: Eukaryota
Description: partial 18S ribosomal RNA
Rfam family: Eukaryotic small subunit ribosomal RNA
Source: RNAcentral
CCCCUAGAUGUUCUGGGCCGCACGCGCGCUACACUGAACAGUUCAACAAGUCUUAACCUUGGCCGAUAGGUCUGGGUAAUCUUUGAACGCUGUUCGUGAUUGGGAUAGACCUUUGCAAUUAUGGGUCUUCAACGAGGAAUUCCUAGUAAACGCAAGUCAUCAGCUUGCAUUGAUUACGUCCCUGCCCUUUGUACACACCGCCCGUCGCACCUACCGAUUGGAUGGUCCGGUGAAAUCUCGGGACGGCGGCUUGGUCGCUUGCGUCCGACUGCUGAAACUUGAUUAAACCAUAUCAUUUAGAGGAAGGUGAAGUCGUANCA